This 253-nucleotide ribosomal RNA is filed under the name uncultured bacterium. Its description in RNAcentral is "partial 16S ribosomal RNA". It matches the Rfam family "Bacterial small subunit ribosomal RNA", at positions 524 to 776 of the family's 1533-position model. The record is from RNAcentral.
UACAGAGGUCUCAAGCGUUGUUCGGAUUCAUUGGGCGUAAAGGGUGCGUAGGCGGCGCGGUAAGUCGGGUGUGAAAUCUCGGAGCUUAACUCCGAAACUGCAUUCGAUACUGCCGUGCUUGAGGACUGGAGAGGAGACUGGAAUUUACGGUGUGGCGGUGAAAUGCGUAGAUAUCGUAAGGAAGACCAGUGGCGAAGGCGGGUCUCUGGACAGUUCCUGACGCUGAGGCACGAAAGCGUGGGGAGCAAACAGG